Molecule: ribosomal RNA, 207 nt
Filed under: uncultured bacterium
Lineage: Bacteria
Description: partial 16S ribosomal RNA
Rfam family: Bacterial small subunit ribosomal RNA
Source: RNAcentral
AGCGUAGGCGGCUUUAUAAGUCAGAUGUGAAAGUCCAUGGCUCAACUGUGGAAGUGCAUUUGAAACUGUGAAGCUUGAGUAUCGGAGGGGAGUGUGGAAUUCCCGGUGUAGAGGUGAAAUUCGUAGAGAUCGGGAGGAACACCGGUGGCGAAGGCGACACUCUGGACGAAUACUGACGCUGAGGCGCGAAAGCGUGGGGAGCAAACA